CUAACUCAUGAACAAAAUACACAGCUGUAACAACUAUGAAAAUGUAAACAACAAAGAUCGGGCCCCGGUUCCGGACCCAGCGUACCCGCCCUACCAUGAGACGAUCACCUCCACUCGUCUCCCUCAUUUUGGCCACCAAAUGGCCUAUAUUAGCCCGUGUCGGCCAUAAUGCCCACUCUCCCCAGCAAUAUUAUUUUAGCCGGACAUGAUUUCUUUCAAUAGCUGUUUAGGAUCUCAUGCAAGCGGAUAAUUCAUUAACUUCACAGGCGACGAAACACUACAAGGAUAUUGCUAGUCGCCGCAAAAGAAACGCGCAAUGAGGCACUUUAGAGGCAAUCGUUGCCCCGAUUUAGGAACAAUGGCCCGCACACUUACUUAAAACUGGAGCUCUCUGGGGGUGGUAAGGGGCGAUAUAAAUGCGUAAAUUCAAAUUAGGCGCAGAUGCAUCACCGUUGGAGUUUUCCUCACCGUUCGCACUCUAAAGUGAAGCUCGGCGUAAGUGCCUAUGUAUGUAUGAAUAUAUUUUAUAAAUACAAAUUAACCGAAUUUAACGAUAAAAAAAAAUCUACUCCUUUCCAGGGAUGGGACCACACCCAGAGAAUCCGAUGAGCCAGCCGGCGCGGCCCACUGAGAAACAAGCAGUU
Non-coding RNA from Drosophila virilis, 644 nucleotides. Lineage: Eukaryota; Metazoa; Arthropoda; Insecta; Diptera; Drosophilidae. The record is from RefSeq and is a predicted model, not a curated record.